Molecule: unclassified non-coding RNA, 361 nt
Filed under: fungal sp.
Lineage: Eukaryota; Fungi
Description: partial internal transcribed spacer region
Rfam family: Eukaryotic small subunit ribosomal RNA (bases 1-46)
Source: RNAcentral
AAGUCGUAACAAGGUUUCCGUAGGUGAACCUGCGGAAGGAUCAUUACUCUUAGCUUAAGUGUACAUACACUUAUUGCUAUACAAACAACACCAAUCUGUGCUCUUGCUUUUUUCAUCCCACUUAUUACUCAAUAAUUUAUUAAACUGAUCCAAUUGUGUUUCAGCUCGACAGUAUUUACUGUUAGCUACACACAUCUGUAUUUGUACGGCCAGUGAUUUAUAUCUCUGUGUCAUGCCAAUACUUGUUGAACCACAGUAUAGUACUGAGUAUGCAUAUAGUAUAUAUGUUUUGCAUAUAUAGUAUAUUCACUCUUAUGACUAUCAGUGAAAACAACUCCGAACAAUGGAUAUCUCGGCUCUC